Molecule: small RNA, 65 nt
Filed under: Flavobacterium sp. 1
Lineage: Bacteria; Pseudomonadati; Bacteroidota; Flavobacteriia; Flavobacteriales; Flavobacteriaceae
Description: Flavo-1 RNA
Source: RNAcentral
UUUUGGUUUUCAGCGGAGACCUAACAGGUUUUUAAAACCUGUUAGGUCUAAUCAGAAGAAUAACA